Molecule: long non-coding RNA, 918 nt
Organism: Octodon degus (degu)
Lineage: Eukaryota; Metazoa; Chordata; Mammalia; Rodentia; Octodontidae
Exons: 3
Source: RefSeq, a predicted model, not a curated record
GGAAUUUGACAAGCAGAGUCAAGGAGACUUGGCUGUCCCUAGACGGCUAUAACGGUGCGUGAUGGCCCGGGCUUCGGGCGGCCGGGACAUCUCCUCCUGAGCCCGGGACCCCUCAAGCGACCGUCAGGCGUCAGCCCGGGACGGCAGAGUUGGGCGGAAGCCCCGCCCCGGCCGCCCAGCAGCCUGGUAGGCAGCGCCGGCCUCUUGUGAAGCUGGUUUCCUGCAAGUGAUGGUUCAUGACGAUAUCUACACCGGUGACUGCUGUGCUUUCAAGUGCCUUCGCCCUCUGUGCCUUCAGCGGAGGCAUUGCCACCAAUGAGCACAUCGUCAAUGGCACUCCCUGUUCUACUGACCAUCUCUAGGCAUGGCCCAUCUGUGAUCUCCUGGAUCUUGUAAAUGUUGGAGAACAUCUCAUCGUGGCUGAUGAGGUCCCAGUGAUGCCAGAUGUGGACUCCAUGUUGUGUCCCCUUCACAUUUGUGUGUUGAAGCCGAACCCCUGAAUGGCUGUAUUUGGAGAUGGAGUUGGUGAGGAGGUGAGGAAGGUUAAAUAAAGUCAGAGAAUGGGGCCUCUGUGCUGAGUGUGGUGUCGAAUGCCUGUAAUCCCAGCAUUCAGCUCUCAGGAGUGUGAGGCAGAAGGAUCGUUUUGAGUUCAAGACACAGUGGAAAGGUGCCCAGCUGCAAGCCAGGAAGAGAGCCCUGAGGAAGCGCUCAGUCUGCUGCUACCUUGACUUUGGACUUCUCAGGCCUCACAACUUCAAAAGUCCAUUUUCUUUGCUCAUGCCACUCAGUCCAUGUGGUUUGUUGGGAUAAUUCUAGAAGACUGAGGCAAUAUGUAGCAGUUAUUCUUUUGUUCCCUUUCACCUCUAUGUAUGUAAAAUUUUGCUUUACUUCUAAGCUAAUGCACUAUCUUAUUGCUGA